This 484-nucleotide ribosomal RNA is filed under the name uncultured bacterium. RNAcentral's name for it is "partial 16S ribosomal RNA". It matches the Rfam family "Bacterial small subunit ribosomal RNA", at positions 28 to 507 of the family's 1533-position model. The record is from RNAcentral.
AUUGAACGCUGGCGGCAUGCUUUACACAUGCAAGUCGAACGGCAGCGCGGGCUUCGGCCUGGCGGCGAGUGGCGAACGGGUGAGUAAUGCAUCGGAACGUGCCCAGUAGUGGGGGAUAGCCCGGCGAAAGCCGGAUUAAUACCGCCUACGACCUGAGGGUGAAAGCGGGGGACCGAAAGGCCUCGCGCUAUUGGAGCGGCCGAUGUCGGAUUAGCUAGUUGGUGGGGUAAAGGCUUACCAAGGCGACGAUCCGUAGCUGGUCUGAGAGGACGACCAGCCACACUGGGACUGAGACACGGCCCAGACUCCUACGGGAGGCAGCAGUGGGGAAUUUUGGACAAUGGGGGCAACCCUGAUCCAGCCAUGCCGCGUGCGGGAAGAAGGCCUUCGGGUUGUAAACCGCUUUUGUUCGGGAAGAAAUCCUCUGGGCUAAUACCCCGGGGGGAUGACGGUACCGGAAGAAUAAGCACCGGCUAACUACGUG